GCAAGUCGAGUGCGCAGGCCCGCAGCAAUGCGGGACGGGCGCACGGCGCACGGGUGCGUAACACGUGGGCAAUCUGCCCUCGGAUGGGGGAUAACCCCGCGAAAGCGGGGCUAAUACCGCAUGAUAUUCCUGGGACCUCGGUCCCGGGACUCAAAGGCCGCAAGGCCGUCGGAGGAGGAGCCCGCGCCCGAUUAGCUAGUUGGUGAGGUAACGGCUCACCAAGGCCAUGAUCGGUAGCCGGUCUGAGAGGAUGGCCGGCCACACUGGAACUGAGACACGGUCCAGACUCCUACGGGAGGCGGCAGUGGGGAAUAUUGCGCAAUGGGCGAAAGCCUGACGCAGCGACGCCGCGUGGGGGAUGAAGCUUCUCGGAGUGUAAACCCCUUUCGACCCGGACGAACGGCCCGCAAGGGCGUGACGGUACGGGUAUAAGAAGCCCCGACUAACUACGUGCCAGCAGCCGCGGUAAUACGUAGGGGGCCAGCGUUGCUCGGAAUUACUGGGCGUAAAGGGUUCGUAGGCGGUGCGGCAAGUCGGGAGUGAAAUCUCUGGGCUUAACUCAGAGGCUGCUUUCGAAACUGCCGUGCUCGAGUGCGGGAGAGGCCAGUGGAAUUGCAGGUGUAGCGGUGA
Molecule: ribosomal RNA, 630 nt
Filed under: uncultured Actinomycetes bacterium
Lineage: Bacteria; Bacillati; Actinomycetota; Actinomycetes
Description: bacterial SSU rRNA
Rfam family: Bacterial small subunit ribosomal RNA
Source: RNAcentral